UACGUAGGUGGCAAGCGUUGUCCGGAUUUACUGGGCGUAAAGAGCGCGCAGGCGGUCGUUCAAGUCGCGUGUGAAAGCCCCCGGCUCAACUGGGGAGGGUCACGCGAUACUGAUCGACUGGAAGGCAGGAGAGGGUAGUGGAAUUCCCGGUGUAGUGGUGAAAUGCGUAGAUAUCGGGAGGAACACCAGUGGCGAAGGCGGCUUCCUGGCCUGUUCUUGGCGCUGAGGCGCGAAAGCUAGGGGAGCAAACGGG
RNAcentral lists this ribosomal RNA (253 nucleotides) under uncultured bacterium. RNAcentral's name for it is "partial 16S ribosomal RNA". It matches the Rfam family "Bacterial small subunit ribosomal RNA", at positions 524 to 776 of the family's 1533-position model. The record is from RNAcentral.